UAGCAUAAUCAUUAGUUUUUUAAUUGGAGACUAGAAUGAAAGGUUUAAUAAAAAAUAAUCUUUAUUAAUUUUAAUAAAUUUCAAUUUAUUAUUUAAGUAAAAAAACUUAAAUUUUUAAAAAAGACGAUAAGACCCUAUAAAGCUUUAUAAAAUUUUUUUAAUAAUUAAUUAGUUUAAUAAAUUUAUUUAGUUUAAAAUUUUAUUUAAUUGGGGUGAUUGAAAGAUUAAAUAAACUCUUUUUUAAAUUUUUAUCAUUUAUUAAUGUUAAAAAAAUUGAUCCUAAUAAAUAUUAAAUAGAUUAAAAGAUUAAGUUACUUUAGGGAUAACAGCGUAAUUUUUUUAAAGAGUUCAUAUCGAUAAAAAAGAUUGCGACCUCGAUGUUGAAUUAAGAUAAUUUUUAGGUGAAGAAGUUUAAAUUUU
Molecule: ribosomal RNA, 420 nt
Filed under: Paratanytarsus tenuis
Lineage: Eukaryota; Metazoa; Arthropoda; Insecta; Diptera; Chironomidae
Description: partial 16S ribosomal RNA
Source: RNAcentral